AAAAAAGAUCUCAGGGAAAAAGUGGUGAAAGGCAAUCAAAGGAGUUAAAACAGGAGCAUGUCAAGAAAGAGGAGAAAAUAAAUCUUUGAAGAAAUGAAGUCCAUAUUGGUAAUAUGGAUGACAAAAAGCAAGGGAAUUGCAAAGAUCCCUCCAUUGUGGGAUGAAAAAUUAUAGUAGCUCUGAAUGACAUCGUCCUCCUCCAAUGACAGUGGCAUUUUCAGUUUCAUGGAAAACAUGCAAUAACUUUGGACCUCAGUUUCUUCAUCCGUGAAUGGUCCUAAUGUUCAAUCUGACUAAAGCAAAGACUGGACAUGAAUAACCAAUUUUCAAAAACUUGAAAUCAUCCAGCACCUACCUGUCAGGGAAGACAGAAGCAGCUACCUUGAUUACCAUCUCAGCAUACCUAUCUACGCAUGCACUGAGUCUUGAUGCAUGAAGAAGAGCACUUCAAGGUCAUAUUCUUGAACUCCCUCCAGCUUAUUCUCAUAAGAAGAAACAACAAUGCUUCCUCUCUUACAAGAAAGCUUUUUCAGAGAGAGAUGCUUAACUUUUGGAGAGGAGGUUGCAAUUUCUCUAAGCAGCUGAAGACUUCUUUGAGUUUCGAAGGCUGGUCUCAGAUUCUGAAUAACGCCAAAGCCUUCUGGUACCUCAAAUGUCUAAGAAACAGAAAAGUGGAAAGUCAGAGGCAAGGAGUUUCUGCCACAGGAGAGCUUGGGUCUACUGCUCAUUCUAAGACAAACCUGGGUUUUACAAGACGGAGAGAAUCUUUGGUCCAAGGAUAUUCGCUUCAAGGAUAAAAAAGUCUUGCAACCAAUGAAAUACCUCCAAAAUUCUGCUGUUCCACAAUCUGACAUCUAUUUUUC
RNAcentral lists this long non-coding RNA (863 nucleotides) under Ictidomys tridecemlineatus (thirteen-lined ground squirrel). RNAcentral's name for it is "lncRNA (ENSSTOG00000033583.1)". The record is from RNAcentral. Lineage: Eukaryota; Metazoa; Chordata; Mammalia; Rodentia; Sciuridae.